Non-coding RNA from Rattus norvegicus (Norway rat), 687 nucleotides. NCBI's taxonomy places the organism in Eukaryota, Metazoa, Chordata, Mammalia, Rodentia, Muridae. The record is from RefSeq and is a predicted model, not a curated record.
UUUCCCAGUUGCUCUACCUAAAGUUUCAGAACCACUCUGGUUAGCCCUGGUUGAGUGGUAUGUAUAUUCCCAAAUAUAGACAAUCUUUUGGCCAAAAGGAUAGAAAAAUUCUUCAUCGCAUGCCCAGUCUCUGGGGAGAGGUGAGGGAUACUUUACUGAUGAACUUGGACUAAGAAUGAGAACGAGAUACUUAUAAAUGAGAAAUGGAAGGCAGACUGGUGAACGAGCAGAUCUCUAGCUUAAAUCCCCUCCACAUGGAAAUGAAUGCUGUGGUUUAAAGUGAAAUGUCCUCUGCAGGCUCCCGUACAUAUGGUUUCCAAUGGGUGGAGCAUUACUAGAAGAAGUAGGCCAUUGGAGGAUGGCCUUGAGCUUUAUAGCUCAGACCAGUAACCUUCUGGUCUUUGCUUCUUGUUCCCAGAGAUAUGAGAAGAUGUCAAGUGCAAAGUCCAACAUAGUUUCUCCACCAUGAUAGACUCUGUCCCCUCAAAAUACCAAGAAAAAAUGGAAUUUCCAUCUGCAAUGGCUGCACACCACACUUUCUGGAGCAGUGGAGUAGAACCGAGAUGUUUGUGCCCUUUUCUCUGAGUUCCACACUCUACCACUUGCUUCACAUAUGGUCUUUGCACCAAGCUAAUUUUCCUGAAAUUCUGUAUGUGAGACAUAAAUACAGUGUGCUUCCCAACUCUA